UUAAAACUGAAAACAUACGGGGACGAUAAAGUCGCCUGUAUUCCUCUCCGUGUUUAUUAAACUGAACCAUCUCCUUUAACUUCCCCAACUAGAUUAUUCUGAGAUUUAGACGCUUAACUCCAUCAAUUUCAUCACAUAAAUCCCUUCAAUUCUUCAAAACCCCCUAAUUUUUGAAGAAACUGUAAUUGAAUCCAGUUUCAAUUUCCAAAUCCACAUCAUAGAGAGAGAGCGAGUGAAGAUCUUUUUUUCUUGUUUCUUUUUUCUUUUUUCAAUAGUUAAAUCUCUCUGUACAUCUCCAUCUCCUACUACCUUGAAGAAAGAGAUACAUAGAUUCAGCUUGGCAUAGUGAAAGCGGUGGCAGAUUGAUGGCAAAAUCGAUUGUAGAGAAUCAUAAUCAAAAAGGGGGGGGGAGGAGAGCUAAAGACGCGAAAUCAAGGUUCUGAUAUUUGUACAAGAAGACGAUUGGUUUUACAAUUGUUGCAUACUAAAUGUAAAUCUGAUGCUGGAGCUGAUGAAGAGUAUGGAGAGUUUUUGUACUUACCUAAAAGAGUUAGGCCCCUUGCUGCGAGAUUACAAACUUUUGAUUUUCCGCAACCACUUAGGUAAUGGUAGAUCCGAUUUAAUGCCUAUGAAGACUGAGACUUCAUGAGGGGAGAUUUAUCAGUUUUAUCACACUAAAACUGCAUCUCAGGUGUAAAUUUAACAAAUAUUUUUAUGAGAAUAUAUAUUCUUUUUUAUGCUACUCGUGAUGCAGUUCUAUUCCUGCUUCAUUGCAGGUGAAACCAGAAAGUCCUACUCUUGUUUCCUCUUCUUUUUGUUGGAGGAGAAACUCAAAUUUCAUUCGUAACCUAGUUUGUUCACAAGUAUCAAUUAUGAAUAAUCAUAAAGAGAGAUUCGAGGAAUCCUCUGAAUCAUAAAUUCAUCUGUGCUUCUAACUUACACAUGGGGCUUAAUUUGUUAGAAUACAGAGAUUAUAGAGAAGAAAUAAAAGCUCCAUGAUUUUGAGCUACAGGAUGAAGGGCUUAUGGAAGCUCAACAAGGUAUAGAAGAAAUAACGGGAGAAUUGGGUAUCUCAUUCAUAAGACUUACUGACGGUGCUAAGAUGGUUUUUGUAAGGAUCAAGGUAAUAUCAGUUGUUGAUAUCCUACUAGUACUGGGAUAUAGGCACACAACCUAGGCGUAUUUGGUAUCUGCAAUUUGGAUAUUGAAAUUGCACAGUUACAAGCCAAAGUGCCAUGAACAUUUUAUCCGUGUAGGACGACCCCACCAAUCUCGCUAUUCCCAGAAGUGCAAUAUUCAAAGUCUAUUUACAAGCCUGUUACUAUGUUCUUGCUUGGUGAUAGGAUAUCAUGUUCAAGGGAUAUAGGAGUGCUGAACAUCAAACAUAAGUCUACGAAGCACAAUCCACUUUAUCAUAUUUAUAUAUUUUAUGAAUCCAUGUAUGCUAAUCUAUGCAGUGGCUUACAACAACCGAUCUUGUCUUUUCGGAAGGACGAUAUCUUUUACCGGAAGAUGUAGAUGUUACGAUCAAUCCUUCAAAAGGUUUAUAUCUUACUGAAAGUAUAUCGUCUGAUGAACAAAAGGAGCUCCGGCACCUGGCAGUUAAUUAUGUUUUGAUUUUUUUUUCUUCUUUGUUGUUUUGAACCAGAAGUAGCUUCUGUUGUUGAAUUUGAGAUGUUUGGUUUCUCAAAGUUGUAAUUUUUCUUUUGAAGCAUCGAUUGUUACUGAAUUCAAGUUAACUUAAAUAAAAUGGUUUGAAUUUGUUUAUAAAA
Molecule: long non-coding RNA, 1772 nt
Organism: Papaver somniferum (opium poppy)
Lineage: Eukaryota; Viridiplantae; Streptophyta; Magnoliopsida; Ranunculales; Papaveraceae
Exons: 6
Source: RefSeq, a predicted model, not a curated record